RNAcentral lists this ribosomal RNA (965 nucleotides) under uncultured Oxalobacteraceae bacterium. Its description in RNAcentral is "bacterial SSU rRNA". It matches the Rfam family "Bacterial small subunit ribosomal RNA", at positions 57 to 1018 of the family's 1533-position model. Lineage: Bacteria; Pseudomonadati; Pseudomonadota; Betaproteobacteria; Burkholderiales; Oxalobacteraceae. The record is from RNAcentral.
GCAAGUCGAACGGCAGCACGGGCUUCGGUCUGGUGGCGAGUGGCGAACGGGUGAGUAAUAUAUCGGAACAUACCCUAGAGUGGGGGAUAACGUAGCGAAAGUUACGCUAAUACCGCAUACGAACUCAGGUUGAAAGUGGGGGAUCGCAAGACCUCAUGCUCAUGGAGUGGCCGAUAUCUGAUUAGCUAGUUGGUGAGGUAAUGGCUCACCAAGGCGACGAUCAGUAGCUGGUCUGAGAGGACGACCAGCCACACUGGAACUGAGACACGGUCCAGACUCCUACGGGAGGCAGCAGUGGGGAAUUUUGGACAAUGGGGGCAACCCUGAUCCAGCAAUGCCGCGUGAGUGAAGAAGGCCUUCGGGUUGUAAAGCUCUUUUGUCAGGGAAGAAACGGUGAGUUCUAAUACAACUUGCUAAUGACGGUACCUGAAGAAUAAGCACCGGCUAACUACGUGCCAGCAGCCGCGGUAAUACGUAGGGUGCAAGCGUUAAUCGGAAUUACUGGGCGUAAAGCGUGCGCAGGCGGUUAUAUAAGUCAGAUGUGAAAUCCCCGGGCUCAACCUGGGAACUGCAUUUGAGACUGUAUGGCUAGAGUGUGUCAGAGGGGGGUAGAAUUCCACGUGUAGCAGUGAAAUGCGUAGAGAUGUGGAGGAAUACCGAUGGCGAAGGCAGCCCCCUGGGAUAACACUGACGCUCAUGCACGAAAGCGUGGGGAGCAAACAGGAUUAGAUACCCUGGUAGUCCACGCCCUAAACGAUGUCUACUAGUUGUCGGGACUUAAUUGUCUUGGUAACGCAGCUAACGCGUGAAGUAGACCGCCUGGGGAGUACGGUCGCAAGAUUAAAACUCAAAGGAAUUGACGGGGACCCGCACAAGCGGUGGAUGAUGUGGAUUAAUUCGAUGCUACGCGAAAAACCUUUACUACCCUUGACAUGGUUGGAAUUCCGAAGAGAUUUGGAAGUGCU